AGCAUAUCAAUAAGCGGAGGAAAAGAAACCAACAGGGAUUGCCUCAGUAACGGCGAGUGAAGCGGCAAGAGCUCAAAUUUGAAAGCUGGCUCCUUCGGGGUCCGCAUUGUAAUUUGCAGAGGAUGCUUCGGGAGUGGCCCCCAUCUAAGUGCCCUGGAACGGGCCGUCAUAGAGGGUGAGAAUCCCGUCUGGGAUGGGGUGUCCACGCCCGUGUGAAGCUCCUUCGACGAGUCGAGUUGUUUGGGAAUGCAGCUCUAAAUGGGUGGUAAAUUUCAUCUAAAGCUAAAUACUGGCCGGAGACCGAUAGCGCACAAGUAGAGUGAUCGAAAGAUGAAAAGCACUUUGAAAAGAGAGUUAAACAGCACGUGAAAUUGUUGAAAGGGAAGCGCUUGCGACCAGACUCGCCCACGGGGUUCAGCCGGCAUUCGUGCCGGUGUACUUCCCCGCGGGCGGGCCAGCGUCGGUUUGGGCGGCCGGUCAAAGGCCCUCGGAAUGUAACGCCCCCCGGGGCGUCUUAUAGCCGAGGGUGCCAUGCGGCCAGCCCGGACCGAGGAACGCGCUUCGGCUCGGACGCUGGCAUAAUGGUCGUAAGCGACCCGUCUUGAAACACGGACCAAGGAGUCUAACAUCUACGCGAGUGUUCGGGUGUCAAACCCGUGCGCGCAGUGAAAGCGAACGGAGGUGGGAACCCCUCGGGGUGCACCAUCGACCGAUCCUGAUGUCUUCGGAUGGAUUUGAGUAAGAGCGUAGCUGUUGGGACCCGAAAGAUGGUGAACUAUGCCUGAAUAGGGCGAAGCCAGAGGAAACUCUGGUGGAGGCUCGCAGCGGUUCUGACGUGCAAAUCGAUCGUCAAAUUUGGGUAUAGGGGCGAAAGACUAAUCGAACCAUCUAGUAGCU
This 897-nucleotide ribosomal RNA is filed under the name Penicillium mariae-crucis. Its description in RNAcentral is "LSU rRNA". It matches the Rfam family "Eukaryotic large subunit ribosomal RNA", at positions 37 to 952 of the family's 3401-position model. Lineage: Eukaryota; Fungi; Ascomycota; Eurotiomycetes; Eurotiales; Aspergillaceae. The record is from RNAcentral.